Molecule: ribosomal RNA, 394 nt
Filed under: Chrysamoeba tenera
Lineage: Eukaryota; Chrysophyceae; Chromulinales; Chrysoamoebidaceae
Description: partial small subunit ribosomal RNA
Rfam family: Eukaryotic small subunit ribosomal RNA
Source: RNAcentral
GCUUGUCUCAAAGAUUAAGCCAUGCAUGUCUAAGUGUAAAUAAGUCUAUACUGUGAAACUGCGAAUGGCUCAUUAAAUCAGUUAUCGUUUAUUUGAUGAUCUCUUACUACUUGGAUAACCGUAGUAAUUCUAGAGCUAAUACAUGCAUCAAACCCAAACUUACGAAUGGGUGUAUUUAUUAGAUGGAAACCAAUGCGGGGAAACCCGGAUCCUGGUGAUUCAUAAUAACUUUCGGAUCGAUUGCAAAAUCGAUGCAUCAUUCAAGUUUCUGCCCUAUCAGCUUUGGAUGGUAGGGUAUUGGCCUACCAUGGCUUUAACGGGUAACGGAGAAUUAGGGUUCGAUUCCGGAGAGGGAGCCUGAGAAACGGCUACCACAUCUAAGGAAGGCAGCAGG